UGAAGGUAUUGACGUGUCUCAAUUUGAAAGGUACAUGGUUUAAUGUUUGCUAAAAAAAUUGGGAAAAUUAUUAAUUUGUGUUAGGGCUUAGCCGUGUGUGUUUUCUGAUUGAGCCGCGUCAAUAUCUCUUCUCAAA
This is a non-coding RNA of Cucumis melo (muskmelon), 136 nucleotides long. The record is from RefSeq and is marked provisional. Lineage: Eukaryota; Viridiplantae; Streptophyta; Magnoliopsida; Cucurbitales; Cucurbitaceae.